GUCGAACGGUAACAGGAAGCAGCUUGCUGCUUUGCUGACGAGUGGCGGACGGGUGAGUAAUGUCUGGGAAACUGCCUGAUGGAGGGGGAUAACUACUGGAAACGGUAGCUAAUACCGCAUAACGUCGCAAGACCAAAGAGGGGGACCUUCGGGCCUCUUGCCAUCGGAUGUGCCCAGAUGGGAUUAGCUAGUAGGUGGGGUAACGGCUCACCUAGGCGACGAUCCCUAGCUGGUCUGAGAGGAUGACCAGCCACACUGGAACUGAGACACGGUCCAGACUCCUACGGGAGGCAGCAGUGGGGAAUAUUGCACAAUGGGCGCAAGCCUGAUGCAGCCAUGCCGCGUGUAUGAAGAAGGCCUUCGGGUUGUAAAGUACUUUCAGCGGGGAGGAAGGCGAUAAGGUUAAUAACCUUGUCGAUUGACGUUACCCGCAGAAGAAGCACCGGCUAACUCCGUGCCAGCAGCCGCGGUAAUACGGAGGGUGCAAGCGUUAAUCGGAAUUACUGGGCGUAAAGCGCACGCAGGCGGUCUGUCAAGUCGGAUGUGAAAUCCCCGGGCUCAACCUGGGAACUGCAUUCGAAACUGGCAGGCUAGAGUCUUGUAGAGGGGGGUAGAAUUCCAGGUGUAGCGGUGAAAUGCGUAGAGAUCUGGAGGAAUACCGGUGGCGAAGGCGGCCCCCUGGACAAAGACUGACGCUCA
This 699-nucleotide ribosomal RNA is filed under the name uncultured Enterobacter sp. RNAcentral describes it as "bacterial SSU rRNA". It matches the Rfam family "Bacterial small subunit ribosomal RNA", at positions 61 to 749 of the family's 1533-position model. The record is from RNAcentral. Lineage: Bacteria; Pseudomonadati; Pseudomonadota; Gammaproteobacteria; Enterobacterales; Enterobacteriaceae.